Molecule: non-coding RNA, 96 nt
Organism: Arabis alpina (gray rockcress)
Lineage: Eukaryota; Viridiplantae; Streptophyta; Magnoliopsida; Brassicales; Brassicaceae
Source: Rfam
GAAAGUGAUGAUAAGAAAUUGUCGCCCCAGUCUUGCUUGCAUUUUUACUAUGGAUGCAGUAUGUUAAAUUGUUGACUGACUAUAUUCGUCUGAUUC